AUUGAACGCUGGCGGCAGGCCUAACACAUGCAAGUCGAGCGGUGCGGCGGACGGGUGAGUAAUGCCUAGGAAUCUGCCUGGUAGUGGGGGAUAACGUCCGGACACGGGCGCUAAUCCCACAUACUAUCAGAUGAGCCUAGGUCGGAUUAGCUAGUUGGUGAGGUAAGGGCCUACCAAGGCGACGAUCCGUAACUGGUCUGAGAGGCUGAUCAGCCACACUGGAACUGAGACACGGGCCAGACUCCUACGGGAGGCAGCAGUAGGGAAUAUUGGACAAUGGGCGAAAGCCUGACCCAGCCAUGCCGCGUGAGUGAAGAAGGUCUUCGGAUUGUAAAGCACUUUAAGUUGGGAGGCGGUACCAACAGAGAAAGCACCGGCUAACUUCGUGCCAGCAGCCGCGGUAAUAC
This 407-nucleotide ribosomal RNA is filed under the name uncultured bacterium. Its description in RNAcentral is "partial 16S ribosomal RNA". It matches the Rfam family "Bacterial small subunit ribosomal RNA", at positions 30 to 526 of the family's 1533-position model. The record is from RNAcentral.